AAUCAACGCUGGCGGCGUGCCUCAGACAUGCAAGUCGAACGCGAAAGCCCCCUUCGGGGGGCAAGUAGAGUGGCGCACGGGUGAGUAACACGUAGGUAAUCUACCUUUGGAUGGGGAAUAGCAACCGGAAACGGUUGCUAAUACCGCAUAAUGCAGCGGCACCUAAUGGUGACAGUUGUUAAAGCGGGGGAUCGCAAGACCUCGCGUCUGAAGAGGAGCCUGCGGCAGAUUAGCUAGUUGGUAAGGUAACGGCUUACCAAGGCUAUGAUCUGUAGCCGGCCUGAGAGGGCGGUCGGCCACACUGACACUGACAUACGGGUCAGACUCCUACGGGAGGCAGCAGUCGGGAAUUUUGGGCAAUGGGCGCAAGCCUGACCCAGCAACGCCGCGUGAAGGAUGAAAUCCUUCGGGAUGUAAACUUCGCAAGAACAGGAAGAAUAAGUAAGGGUUAAUAUCUCUUACGAUGACGGUACUGUUUGUAAGCUCCGGCUAACUCCGUGC
Molecule: ribosomal RNA, 501 nt
Filed under: uncultured bacterium
Lineage: Bacteria
Description: bacterial SSU rRNA
Rfam family: Bacterial small subunit ribosomal RNA
Source: RNAcentral